This 349-nucleotide ribosomal RNA is filed under the name uncultured soil bacterium. RNAcentral's name for it is "bacterial SSU rRNA". It matches the Rfam family "Bacterial small subunit ribosomal RNA", at positions 26 to 381 of the family's 1533-position model. The record is from RNAcentral.
AGAUUGAACGCUGGCGGCAUGCCUUACACAUGCAAGUCGAACGGCAGCACGGGAGCAAUCCUGGUGGCGAGUGGCGAACGGGUGAGUAAUACAUCGGAACGUGCCCAAUCGUGGGGGAUAACGCAGCGAAAGCUGUGCUAAUACCGCAUAAGAUCUACGGAUGAAAGCAGGGGAUCGCAAGACCUUGCGCGAAUGGAGCGGCCGAUGGCAGAUUAGGUAGUUGGUGAGGUAAAGGCUCACCAAGCCUUCGAUCUGUAGCUGGUCUGAGAGGACGACCAGCCACACUGGGACUGAGACACGGCCAGACUCACGGGAGCAGCAGUGGGAAUUUGGACAAGUGGGACGAAAG